AAUCCUACGGGGCGCAGCAGUGGGGAAUAUUGGGCAAUGGGCGAAAGCCUGACCCAGCAACGCCGCGUGAAGGAAGAAGGCUUUCGGGUUGUAGACUUCUUUUGACAGGGAAGAGCAGAAGACGGUACCUGUCGAAUAAGCCACGGCUAACUACGUGCCAGCAGCCGCGGUAAUACGUAGGGGGCAAGCGUUAUCCGGAUUUACUGGGUGUAAAGGGAGUGUAGACGGAAAGGCAAGUCAGAAGUGAAAACCCAAGGCUCAACCAUGGGACUGCUUUUGAAACUGUCAAACUAGAGUACGGGAGG
This 305-nucleotide ribosomal RNA is filed under the name uncultured bacterium. RNAcentral describes it as "bacterial SSU rRNA". It matches the Rfam family "Bacterial small subunit ribosomal RNA", at positions 335 to 655 of the family's 1533-position model. The record is from RNAcentral.